This 456-nucleotide ribosomal RNA is filed under the name uncultured bacterium. Its description in RNAcentral is "bacterial SSU rRNA". It matches the Rfam family "Bacterial small subunit ribosomal RNA", at positions 29 to 530 of the family's 1533-position model. The record is from RNAcentral.
AACGAACGCUGGCGGCAUGCCUAACACAUGCAAGUCGAACGAACCCUUCGGGGUUAGUGGCGCACGGGUGCGUAACGCGUGGGAACCUGCCUUUAGGUUCGGAAUAACAGUUAGAAAUGACUGCUAAUACCGGAUGAUGUCUUCGGACCAAAGAUUUAUCGCCUUUAGAUGGGCCCGCGUUGGAUUAGCUAGUUGGUGGGGUAAAGGCCUACCAAGGCGACGAUCCAUAGCUGGUCUGAGAGGAUGAUCAGCCACACUGGGACUGAGACACGGCCCAGACUCCUACGGGAGGCAGCAGUGGGGAAUAUUGGACAAUGGGCGCAAGCCUGAUCCAGCAAUGCCGCGUGAGUGAUGAAGGCCUUAGGGUUGUAAAGCUCUUUUACCAGGGAUGGAUAAUGACAGUACCUGGAGAAUAAGCUCCGGCUAACUCCGUGCCAGCAGCCGCGGUAAACGUAG